RNAcentral lists this long non-coding RNA (316 nucleotides) under Chinchilla lanigera (long-tailed chinchilla). RNAcentral describes it as "lncRNA (ENSCLAG00000023593.1)". Lineage: Eukaryota; Metazoa; Chordata; Mammalia; Rodentia; Chinchillidae. The record is from RNAcentral.
CUCGUCGGCUACAGGCCUUUGGGGAAUCCAGUGUUGCCAUCAUAUUAGGAAGGUGUGACCGAGGGACUUCUCGCCAUCUGACUUUCAUCAGGAUCCACCCUACUCUGCUUCCCCUUUGGUGGCUGAGUCUGAGAAGGAGGUUACCUGGGUAACCAGUUCAGAGGGAAAAGCUGACCUACAUACUGAUCCUAAAAAGCAAAGUCUCUCCUGGUGGCUUUCCCUGUCCUCCUUGGGAACCUGUACGGUCUCUUGUCACAGGGCAGGAAGAGCUCUGCUUGUCGCAUAGACCAGACUUCCAGAACUGGUGAGCCCUCUG